GAUGAACGCUAGCGGCAGGCCUAACACAUGCAAGUCGAGGGGCAGCACGUUAAGUUAGCAAUAACUUAUGGUGGCGACCGGCGGACGGGUGCGUAACGCGUAUGUAACCUACCUUAAUUGGGGGAUAAUUCGGAGAAAUCUGGUCUAAUACCCCAUAACAUCCUGCUCGGCAUCGGGCUGGGUUAAAAACUCAGGUGAUGAGCGAUGGACAUGCGUAACAUUAGUUCGUUGGUAGGGUAACGGCCUACCAAGACUACGAUGUUUAGGGGGACUGAGAGGUUACCCCCCCACACUGGAACUGAGACACGGUCCAGACUCCUACGGGAGGCAGCAGUGAGGAAUAUUGGUAAAUGGGGCAACCCUGAACCAGCCAUGCCGCGUGCAGGAAGACGGCUCUAUGAGUUGUAAACUGCUUUUGUACGAGGGUAAAGUCGGGCACGUGUGCUCGUUUGAAAGUAUCGUACGAAUAAGGAUCGGCUAACUCCGUGCCAGCAGCCGCCGUAA
RNAcentral lists this ribosomal RNA (504 nucleotides) under uncultured bacterium. RNAcentral describes it as "partial 16S ribosomal RNA". It matches the Rfam family "Bacterial small subunit ribosomal RNA", at positions 28 to 523 of the family's 1533-position model. The record is from RNAcentral.